RNAcentral lists this transfer RNA (74 nucleotides) under Legionella norrlandica. RNAcentral describes it as "tRNA-Gly". It matches the Rfam family "tRNA". Rfam says of the family: Transfer RNA (tRNA) molecules are approximately 80 nucleotides in length. Their secondary structure includes four short double-helical elements and three loops (D, anti-codon, and T loops). The record is from RNAcentral. RNAcentral also lists the same sequence under 1 other name. Lineage: Bacteria; Pseudomonadati; Pseudomonadota; Gammaproteobacteria; Legionellales; Legionellaceae.
GCGGGUGUAGUUCAAUGGUAGAACCUCAGCUUCCCAAGCUGAUAGCGUGGGUUCGAUUCCCAUCACCCGCUCCA